This 444-nucleotide ribosomal RNA is filed under the name uncultured bacterium. RNAcentral's name for it is "SSU rRNA". It matches the Rfam family "Bacterial small subunit ribosomal RNA", at positions 26 to 518 of the family's 1533-position model. The record is from RNAcentral.
AGAACGAACGCUGGCGGCAGGCCUAACACAUGCAAGUCGAACGCUCUCGCAAGAGAGAGUGGCGCACGGGUGCGUAACGCGUGGGAAUGUACCUCUAGGUACGGAACAACCCAGGGAAACUUGGGCUAAUACCGUAUAAUAUCUUCGGAUCAAAGAUUUAUCGCCUAGAGAUCAGCCCGCGUAGGAUUAGCUAGUUGGUGAGGUAAUGGCUCACCAAGGCUACGAUCCUUAGCUGGUCUGAGAGGAUGAUCAGCCACACUGGAACUGAGACACGGUCCAGACUCCUACGGGAGGCAGCAGUGGGGAAUCUUGCGCAAUGGGGGAAACCCUGACGCAGCAACGCCGCGUGGAGGAUGAAAUAUCUUGGUAUGUAAACUCCUUUCGAUGGGGAAGAUUAUGACGGUACCAUAGAAGAGCCCCGGCUAACUUCGUGCCAGCAGCCGC